GGGGAACUGAAACAUCUAAGUACCCCGAGGAAAAGAAAUCAACCGAGAUUCCCCCAGUAGCGGCGAGCGAACGGGGAGGAGCCCAGAGCCUGAAUCAGCAUGUGUGUUAGUGGAAGCGUCUGGAAAGGCGCGCGAUACAGGGUGACAGCCCCGUACACAAAAGCGCAUGUGCUGUGAGCUCGAUGAGUAGGGCGGGACACGUGGUAUCCUGUCUGAAUAUGGGGGGACCAUCCUCCAAGGCUAAAUACUCCUGA
RNAcentral lists this ribosomal RNA (254 nucleotides) under Salmonella enterica subsp. enterica serovar Thompson. Its description in RNAcentral is "partial 23S ribosomal RNA". It matches the Rfam family "Bacterial large subunit ribosomal RNA", at positions 187 to 478 of the family's 2925-position model. Lineage: Bacteria; Pseudomonadati; Pseudomonadota; Gammaproteobacteria; Enterobacterales; Enterobacteriaceae. The record is from RNAcentral.